CCUAACACAUGCAAGUCGAAUGGUAACAGGAAACAGCUUGCUGUUUCGCUGACGAGUGGCGGACGGGUGAGUAAUGUCUGGGAAACUGCCUGAUGGAGGGGGAUAACUACUGGAAACGGUAGCUAAUACCGCAUAACGUCGCAAGACCAAAGAGGGGGACCUUCGGGCCUCUUGCCAUCAGAUGUGCCCAGAUGGGAUUAGCUAGUAGGUGGGGUAACGGCUCACCUAGGCGACGAUCCCUAGCUGGUCUGAGAGGAUGACCAGCCACACUGGAACUGAGACACGGUCCAGACUCCUACGGGAGGCAGCAGUGGGGAAUAUUGCACAAUGGGCGCAAGCCUGAUGCAGCCAUGCCGCGUGUAUGAAGAAGGCCUUCGGGUUGUAAAGUACUUUCAGCGGGGAGGAAGGGAGUAAAGUUAAUACCUUUGCUCAUUGACGUUACCCGCAGAAGAAGCACCGGCUAACUCCGUGCCAGCAGCCGCGGUAAUACGGAGGGUGCAAGCGUUAAUCGGAAUUACUGGGCGUAAAGCGCACGCAGGCGGUUUGUUAAGUCAGAUGUGAAAUCCCCGGGCUCAACCUGGGAACUGCAUCUGAUACUGGCAAGCUUGAGUCUCGUAGAGGGGGGUAGAAUUCCAGGUGUAGCGGUGAAAUGCGUAGAGAUCUGGAGGAAUACCGGUGGCGAAGGCG
This 687-nucleotide ribosomal RNA is filed under the name uncultured Pseudomonadota bacterium. Its description in RNAcentral is "bacterial SSU rRNA". It matches the Rfam family "Bacterial small subunit ribosomal RNA", at positions 47 to 723 of the family's 1533-position model. Lineage: Bacteria; Pseudomonadati; Pseudomonadota. The record is from RNAcentral.